This is a long non-coding RNA of Physella acuta, 1096 nucleotides long. RefSeq lists it as uncharacterized. NCBI's taxonomy places the organism in Eukaryota, Metazoa, Mollusca, Gastropoda, Physidae. The record is from RefSeq and is a predicted model, not a curated record.
UAGAUUGAAAGUGACGAGCCAACUGUAUAGCAAGAGCCGAUCACACCUCUUGUAUGUAAUUAAUUGCAGGUACAUAAGAAGCAAGGAUGAAGUUGAAGAUGAUUGUUACCCUGAUGAUUUUAGCACUAUUGGUUCCAGUAGAGGGGCGUAACUCUGGGCGUAACUCUUGUGUGCAGGCGUGUCGUACUGCUGGUGCAGCUGCGAAAUUUCUGUCGCCUGUUCUCAAGUUUGCUGACUACGACGCAGGAAAACAUCUAUCAAGAAAAAACAUCGGCAUGGCACAGCAGAUAUGCGAACGAUUUUGUAAAUAACCAGAUAUCUUAAAGAUGAUUGUGUCAUGUUGCUGUAUUAAUGUUGGUUUUGGACCUUUUUAACACGUUUUUCUUAACUCAGCUUCGCGUUUGUUUGUUUGGUUGUUUGGAUGUUUGUUGUUAAAAUUGACAUCGAAAAUUAGCCCACUUCUGAUUGCUCUAGAGACCUGAAAUUUGGCAUGCAUGCUACUUUCACCUAACAAUUUCAGAUGCAAUCAUAAAAACUAGCAAUUAGUGACCGUAAUUAGCUUAAUUUAAUUACGCCCCAAGGACCAUAAAAUUGAGGACAUGAUUUCUAAAGAUACCGACAAGACUGGAGGCCUAUUGACACAGUUACUUCGGCCCCAAUCGAUGUGAGCGCGCUGGCCGUGAUCGUAUAGUGGUUAGUACUUCGCGUUGUGACCGCGACAACCCAGGUUCGAAUCCUGGUCGCUCAAGAUUUUUAGUCCGUGUAUUUAUAAACACUUUUUUAAAAACCACGUUUUUCAUGUGUAGCAACGGACUAAAAAGGAGAACGGACACGGUAACACAUUGUUAACGGUGACACGGUUGGUACGCUGGGUAUGCUAAAAUACACAUAAACACGUUUUUCCUUAACUCAGCUUCGCGUUUAUUUGUUUGUUUAUGGGAGAUUUGAUCACGUGAUUCGUGAGUAGAUCUCCACGCCAGCAACGUAAAUUACACCCUGUUUAAAGCGUAUCGGUCGCUCAAGAUUUUUUUAGUCCGUGUAUUUAAAAACACUUAGUCAAGUCAUACUUAAUCAAGUGAUUAGAUAAAGUAGAAAA